CGAACCACUAACCAACUCGGAUGAAUGGUUGGAAUUUCACAAGACAUGUUGCAUCCGAGUCAAAAAUGUUUUUGUUAAGAUAAAACCUUAUAUGUGACAUAUUUAGAUAUUGGUGAUUAGUUUUAAAAUAGAUAAAUAGUAAAAUAUAUGUUUACCCGUUAUUUAAAAAAUUGCUGGACUCGGUAUGUGGAGCCGGGUAAGCUCGACCCGAUUACCCACAUCUGGAUUCAACCGAGUAUAUUUUGUUUAAGCUUCUUCUCAAAAGUAAAAAUCAGGAAAAAGGGGGCUGUAAAAUAAAAUCUCAUUCACAAUUAUCUUUUUCUUUCUCAAUAUACAUAUAUACUUAUUACAGAUCAGAUCAGUGUGUGUGUGUGUGUGUGUGAAAAAUGGGGUACACAAAAGGAUUAUUAUCGGCGAUAACGAGAGACGGCGAGCCGCUUGUGAAAAAACUAGCUGCAGUUUCCGUCUUCGGCGUUCUUCCGGCAGCCAUGAUCGCUUCUCUCAUUUAUUCUCCACCUGAUUACUUCUACAAUCGCAACAACAACAAAUCAUCUUCCUCCAAAGAUUAGGGACUAGUUGGAAGUUGUAGAAAUGUGUGGGGCAAAAGGAUCGACUGAAUAACCUAAUGGUCAUUAUGUUAGCGGUAUUAUGGUUAUAGCCAUUUGGAAACUUAGUUUUGCUUGUUUAAGCCAUUUGUUUCUGCUAUAUACUUGAUCAGCCAUCUAAUAAAAGUUGACCAUUGCAACUGUCUUAAAGCA
Long non-coding RNA from Erigeron canadensis, 758 nucleotides. RefSeq lists it as uncharacterized. NCBI's taxonomy places the organism in Eukaryota, Viridiplantae, Streptophyta, Magnoliopsida, Asterales, Asteraceae. The record is from RefSeq and is a predicted model, not a curated record. The transcript has 2 exons.